RNAcentral lists this long non-coding RNA (473 nucleotides) under Felis catus (domestic cat). RNAcentral describes it as "lncRNA (ENSFCAG00000047923.1)". Lineage: Eukaryota; Metazoa; Chordata; Mammalia; Carnivora; Felidae. The record is from RNAcentral.
UGCUUGCUUGAAGAAUAUGUGGAAUGUACAUCCUUGCUUCACUGACUUGAGGAUAGUCACAUGGCUUGCCUUGGUUAAUGGAAUAUUAGUGAAGAUGAGAAAACUGAGGCCAAGAAGAAGUCUAGAUUAUAAAUCCACAGACCAGAAAACCUCCACAGAAUCAGAAGUGCACAGAGCCAACAACACCACAGUCCAGCCAGUUGAAUGCUCUUUGGGCUACAGCCGUGGCUAAGUGUGAUCCCAGAAGGCAUGGUGAGUUAUACAAUCUAGCGAAACACAUUUGGCAGAUGGAGGAAGCAUCUGAGAAUAAGACCAUGACUACUGCAGGGAUUGUGGAAUCUUAUUGUUUUGUUUUAUCCUGCUAUGUGUUAUAUGUAUGAUGAUUUACAUUUCAGUGUAUUGGAUACUUUCCAUUUAUUCAAGAAAUAUGUCACAUGUUAAAACUUUGAAAAUAAAGUUUUUAUAAUGUUAAC